RNAcentral lists this ribosomal RNA (253 nucleotides) under uncultured bacterium. RNAcentral's name for it is "partial 16S ribosomal RNA". It matches the Rfam family "Bacterial small subunit ribosomal RNA", at positions 524 to 776 of the family's 1533-position model. The record is from RNAcentral.
UACAGAGGUCCCAAGCGUUGUUCGGAUUCACUGGGCGUAAAGGGUGCGUAGGCGGUCGGGUAAGUCUGAUGUGAAAUCUCACAGCUUAACUGUGAAACUGCAUUGGAUACUAUCCGGCUAGAGGAAUGGAGGGGAGACUGGAAUACUUGGUAUAGCAGUGAAAUGCGUAGAUAUCAAGUGGAACACCAGUGGCGAAGGCGAGUCUCUGGACAUUUCCUGACGCUGAGGCACGAAAGCCAGGGGAGCAAACGGG